GAAUUAGGAUAUGUAUUAUUUUAUUUUUUGACCUCUUGUAUUUCUCCAAAACCCAAACCCCUCCCCCUCACGAUAGAAAAUGUUGCAGAGCAGUGUCUUCUUCUCCUUCCCUAGUUGUUCCGCUCCAAAUCUUCCUUCGCUCUUCUUCCCCACCUCAGUCCCCUUUAGCUUCUCUACCCCCCACUUCCAUUGCCAAAUAAAACAACCCAAAGUAACGAAGCAGCAAUUCUUCUGCCGCGUGUCCUCCAGCUAUGAAGUUGGUGGAGGCUAUCCUGAUGAAGAACUUGAACGAACUUAUAAAACCCAGACCCAACAACUUCAAGACAGUCAGCACUUAGAUUCUUCUCAGUAUGAUGCUUUACUCAAAGGAGGAGACCAAGUCAUUUCUGUUCUUGAAGAAAUUAUUACCCUUUUGGAAGAUAUGAACAUGGAUGAGGCAUCUGAGGAGGUAGCAGUUGAGUUAGCUGCACAAGGAGUAAUUGGGAAAAGGGUUGACGAAAUGGAAUCAGGGUUCAUGAUGGCUCUAGAUUACAUGAUCCAAGUUGCUGAAAAGGACCAAGAUGAUAAGCGAAAGUCGCUGCUUGAGGUGAUUAAGGAGACCGUGCUGGCACAUCUCACAAAAAAAUGUCCUCCGCAUGUUCAAGUGAUUGGACUUCUCUGUAGAACACCCCUGAAAGAAAGCAGACAUGAGCUACUACGCCGAGUUGCUGCAGGUGGUGGUGCUUUCAAAAGUGAAAAUGGCACCAAAGUUCAUCUUCCUGGAGCAAAUCUAAACGAUAUAGCAAACCAGGCUGAUGAUCUACUAGAGACAAUGGAAACUCGGCCAGUUGUUCCAGAUCGAAAACUACUUGCAAGACUUGUUUUGAUCAGAGAGGAAGCUCGAAAUAUGAUGGGAGGUGGGAUACUCGAUGAAAGAAAUGACCGUGGUUUUAGUACUCUUCCUGAAUCAGAGGUGAACUUCUUAACAAAGCUUGUAGCACUGAAACCUGGGAAACCCGUCCAGGAAAUGAUAAAAAAUGUAAUGCUAGGGAAAGAUGAAGGUGCAGACUACUCUGACACUGAUGAAGAAGCUAAUGCCAGUAGUACGAGACCCCGGGGAAUUGCAGGAAGGGGCAGUGUUACAGGGAGAAAACCACUUCCUGUUCGCCCCGGCAUGUUUCUUGAGACUGUGACAAAGGUUUUGGGUGGUAUAUAUAAUGGAAAUGUCUCUGGCAUAACAGCACAGCAUUUAGAAUGGGUUCAUCAGAAAACACUUCAAGUUCUUCAGGAAAUUGCAUUCUAAUUCUUCAAGCUACUUGUACCAGAAAUUGGAUUACAUCAUAAUCCGCAGUUUACAUCAAAGGAGAGAGAUGAUUCCAUAAGUAGAGGUAUGGGGCAAAUGAUGUUUCUCACAAUCUUGUUGGAUGGUAAAAGUCUUCAUGUCACCAGACUUUCACUUUGCUCAAUCGUCAUAUUCAUCUUUAGCUCAUAUAUCACAUCACUUUUUAAGCAGAAAUUAAAGUUAAAAAGAAGCAGCAACACCAGAUCAUGCUACUUAAUUAAAUUAAAUUUUGUUUUGUAUUCAGAUUUAUUGAAUAUUAUUUCCUUCUUUAACUAAUGACAUGAAUCAACUGUAAACAUCAAAAGUUGAUUAUAUAUAUAAAGCAAGCAAAGCUUAGCUUUUCUUCUCA
Gossypium arboreum is the source of this 1670-nucleotide RNA transcript. It is a transcript of the gene named protein PEP-RELATED DEVELOPMENT ARRESTED 1, chloroplastic, with no coding region annotated. NCBI's taxonomy places the organism in Eukaryota, Viridiplantae, Streptophyta, Magnoliopsida, Malvales, Malvaceae. The record is from RefSeq and is a predicted model, not a curated record. The transcript is spliced from 10 exons.